Myotis brandtii (Brandt's bat) is the source of this 300-nucleotide long non-coding RNA. RefSeq lists it as uncharacterized. The transcript has 2 exons. The record is from RefSeq and is a predicted model, not a curated record. NCBI's taxonomy places the organism in Eukaryota, Metazoa, Chordata, Mammalia, Chiroptera, Vespertilionidae.
UCAUGGUUUCUAUGUAUUACAAACCUUUGCGUGCAUCUCUGAUCAUUUCCUUGGGAUUCAGCCCUCGAUGUGAAUAACAGGAUCCAAAGUCAAGGCAUCCUUGUAAGGGAUUGGUGCGAACAUUCCUGAAGGGAAAUGGAGCUGGCGAGCUGUCCCUGCCUCUUGAUUAGAGACGCUAGGUGGCGAAUUUCAGCAAGGUUGCCAUAAAACAGCAUCCUAUCUAAGAAGGCAUCUUUGCAAUAAAAUAAUUUACCUGGAAGAGGAGGUUCUCCAUAAGAUAAUAAACAAUACCCAAAUGUA